RNAcentral lists this ribosomal RNA (501 nucleotides) under Plateros sp. UPOL 000L13. RNAcentral describes it as "partial large subunit ribosomal RNA". It matches the Rfam family "Archaeal large subunit ribosomal RNA", at positions 1954 to 2664 of the family's 2987-position model. Lineage: Eukaryota; Metazoa; Arthropoda; Insecta; Coleoptera; Lycidae. The record is from RNAcentral.
CAUGUCCUUUUGAUUAUAAUUUAAGGUUUAAUCUGCACAAUGAAAAUUAAAUUGCCGCAGUAUUUUGACUGUGCAAAGGUAGCAUAAUAAAUAGUUCCUUGAUUAGGAACUGGAAUGAAUGAUUGGACGAGAUGAUUUCUGUCUCUUAUUAAUGGAUUUUUGAAUUUUAUUUUUAAGUUAAAAAGCUUAAAUUGUUAUGAAAGACGAGAAGACCCUAUAGAGUUUUAUAUCUUAAGUGAAUUUUAUAUUAGAAAUAUUUUUUUUAGUUUAGGUAUUUAGUUGGGGUGACUUGGAGAUUAGAUAAAUUCUUUAAUUUUUUAAUUGAUUAUUAUUAAUUUUCUUAGCUAGAUUUUUUAAAUUUAAAAUUAAUUACCUUAGGGAUAACAGCGUAAUUUUUCUUUAAAGUUCUUAUUAAAAGGAAGUUUUGCGACCUCGAUGUUGGAUUAAAAUAAAUUUUUGGUGCAGUAACUUAAAAAUUAGGUCUGUUCGACCUUUAAUAUU